UGUUCCAUGUUGUAAUUACUUAAUGAGGUCCACCUGGCCUGGGAGGGAAGUGUUUAUAAAUGCACCUUCGCCAGCGUCUGAAGGAGAGGCUUCUGGGGUCCAUCAUGAAGCAGGUUCAACAACCUCUGAGUAUGAAUGUUAACUCUGAGUUGACAAACCCUGGGAUGAAAAUCUGUGAGUUUCCUGUUUCAACACAGCUGAUUAGCAUUAGUUCUGUCGACUCUGAGUAUGUUGACUCAAGCGCGUGCACCACGACUAUAAAAAAGCCCUCAUCAAUGGAGCCCCGAUUCCCUGAUUCACCACGGAGGCCAGAGGGGAAAGAAAGCGCUCAACAUAUUUUUCACCUCUGGAGCUGGAAAUCUUGAUGGAGGCUUGCGGUGAAUAUGAGCAUUUAUUCCGGAAAAAAAGUAACACGACAGCAGCGGCAAAAGAAAGAGAAAGUGCACGAGGGAAAAAAUCACUGCUCGAGUCAAUGUGUAAGUUCUGUGUUUAAUCACUCAUAAAAUAUUGUAUGUAAAAAAUGGUGUUGACCCUCUGCUCAUGUAGGUGCAACCCAGGAGGUGAAAAACAGACUUGGAGGCAGUUGAAAAUGAAAUAUAAAAAUCUAAUUCAGUCAGAAAGAGGGCGGAGGCCCCUAAAACGGGUGGAGGACCUGCACCACCACCUCUAACAGAGGCAGAGGAGAUGGCCCUGAGCCAAACUGCUGGAAGGCCAGUGGCUGAGGGAAUCCCAGGGGGCAGCUCAUCUGAGCCAGUCACCCCCAGGACACAAGUGUCUUCAUAACAUUAGACUCUGAGGGACGUCUCCACCUGUUGGAGCCUCAUGUAGCCCAACUCCAGCCUGUUGUAUGGAACUCAACACACCAAAACUCAUAACCAAUAGUGGUAUAAAGUUCACAGAAUAAAAUGGUUGUCUUCAAAGGA
Scatophagus argus is the source of this 923-nucleotide long non-coding RNA. RefSeq lists it as uncharacterized. The record is from RefSeq and is a predicted model, not a curated record. NCBI's taxonomy places the organism in Eukaryota, Metazoa, Chordata, Actinopteri, Scatophagidae. The transcript is spliced from 3 exons.